UGUAUAUGUAUANNNUUAUGAUGCGGGUUACUACUUGUAGUAUUGCCUGCACAUUCUUGUAUAUUUAGUUGCAAGAUUUUGUCGGCGUGCACUCUCCCCUAGUAGGACGUCGCGACCUGUUGGGUGUCGGUCUACGGCCCAAGUGAUAGCCUUUAAUGUAAUUUAAAAAGCAUUGAAGAUCCUUGGUGUUUUCUGACCGGCUACUUGGCAGUAUUCGUACGGUAUUUAGCCGCUAAAUUUAUUAAGCGUCCAUAUCCGUCACAAGCGAGGCUAAUUUACUAGUAGUACGGACCUAGUGCCGUCGUUGGUAUUAGUCAGCUGUUGGUUGUACGGUAUUCUAGGACUGGCUAAAAUUAAUUACCGGUCGGCGAUGCUACUGCUUUGGGUACUUUCAGGACCCGUCUUGAAACACGGACCAAGGAGUCUAACAUGUGCGCAAGUCAUUGGGAUUUUUUUAAAAUUAAACCUAAAGGCGCAAUGAAAGUAAAGGUUGACCUUGCGUUAACCGAGGGAGGAUGAGUUAUAUUAUGAUAUAGGUU
Molecule: ribosomal RNA, 539 nt
Filed under: Aleiodes sp.
Lineage: Eukaryota; Metazoa; Arthropoda; Insecta; Hymenoptera; Braconidae
Description: partial 28S ribosomal RNA
Rfam family: Eukaryotic large subunit ribosomal RNA
Source: RNAcentral